GCCGGACGCGGUGGCGCGCGCCUGUAGUCCCAGCUACUCGGGAGGCUGAGAUGGGAGGAUCGCUUGAGCCCAGGAGUUCUGGGCUGUAGUGCGCUAUGCCGAUCGGGUGUCCGCACUAAGUUCGGCAUCAAUAUGGUGACCUCCCAGGAGCGGGGGACCACCAGGUUGCCUAAGGAGGGGUGAACCGGCCCAGGUCGGAAACGGAACAGGUCAAAACUCCCGUGCUGAUCAGUAGUGGGAUCGCGCCUGUGAAUAGCCACUGCACUCCAGCCUGGGCAACAUAGCGAGACCCGUCUCUU
RNAcentral lists this signal recognition particle RNA (299 nucleotides) under Microcebus murinus (gray mouse lemur). RNAcentral describes it as "Metazoan signal recognition particle RNA (ENSMICG00000043700.1)". It matches the Rfam family "Metazoan signal recognition particle RNA". From Rfam's summary of the family: The signal recognition particle (SRP) is a universally conserved ribonucleoprotein. It is involved in the co-translational targeting of proteins to membranes. The record is from Rfam by way of RNAcentral. Lineage: Eukaryota; Metazoa; Chordata; Mammalia; Primates; Cheirogaleidae.